RNAcentral lists this ribosomal RNA (300 nucleotides) under Virgibacillus sp. 7505. RNAcentral describes it as "bacterial SSU rRNA". It matches the Rfam family "Bacterial small subunit ribosomal RNA", at positions 828 to 1126 of the family's 1533-position model. The record is from RNAcentral. Lineage: Bacteria; Bacillati; Bacillota; Bacilli; Caryophanales; Bacillaceae.
GGGUUUCCGCCCUUUAGUGCUGAAGUUAACGCAUUAAGCACUCCGCCUGGGGAGUACGGCCGCAAGGCUGAAACUCAAAAGAAUUGACGGGGGCCCGCACAAGCGGUGGAGCAUGUGGUUUAAUUCGAAGCAACGCGAAGAACCUUACCAGGUCUUGACAUCCGCUGACAACUCUGGAGACAGAGCGUUCCCUUCGGGGACAGCGUGACAGGUGGUGCAUGGUUGUCGUCAGCUCGUGUCGUGAGAUGUUGGGUUAAGUCCCGCAACGAGCGCAACCCUUGAUUCUAGUUGCCAGCAUUC